RNAcentral lists this long non-coding RNA (6024 nucleotides) under Nicotiana benthamiana. RNAcentral describes it as "long non-coding RNA (NBEN_LNC033422)". Lineage: Eukaryota; Viridiplantae; Streptophyta; Magnoliopsida; Solanales; Solanaceae. The record is from RNAcentral.
UCAAUACUCAAAUCCCAAUCACAAAUCCCACUAGUGAGUAACAACAUGAAAUUAGCAGUUUGCCAAGUCUAUUAACCAAAUAAUUUAAAUAGAAACAAUAUGAAACACUGACACAACCAACAUCUCCCAAAGACCUGGGGUCAUGAGUCUAGAGCCUCUAAGAUAAUAAAGUAGCAAAUCCUCAUGUAAUACAGAGUUCUAGAAUGCGAUAAGAUAAAAGGGGAUAAGGGGAGGAGUUGGGUUCUAUGAACGUCGGGCAGCUACCUCGACAACUCCUGAAAGCUCUGAAAACAACAAGCAGCUCGACUAAGCUCCCGAUGCUCCUGAAUCUGCACGCAUGGUGAAUGGAGUAAAGUGAGUACUUCCAACUCAGUGGUAAUAGACAUAUAUAAUGGCUGAAAGUAAGAAAUCUCGAAAAUACCACAAUGUAGAGCUAAAACUAACAAUUUAGCAUAAUUAGCAAUGAAAUGGCAACAAAACAAAAUCAGAUAACAACAAAGCAUGAAUGCAAUGCAAUGCACGACCGUUGCGGUGUACAGCCCUAUCCAUUUGGGUAUCUGCACUCACUAUGAGGGUUCAGACUCCGGAGGGGCUCCUACAGCCCAAGCGCAAUAUCAUCGUGACAUCGUUGUGGCGUGCAUCCCGAUCCACACUCAGUCCAGAAUAUGUAUAUGCGUUAUACAACAAAGUCAGAUUUUAGUUCUCAGUUCCAAUUAUUAGGAAAAUUAUUGUUUAAGUCUUUAAAACCUUAGGAAUGUGACCAAGUAUUUCAAAAUAGUUUUUAAAACUUAGGACUGAACUCAUAUAGCAUGUUGAAUAUCAUGGAAGCACUGAUAAUAAUCCCAAGGGAUUCAAAUAGUUGGCACACGGCCCAAGUAUAUCAUAACAAUCCAAGUAGGAUGUUUACUAAUUAGUCUAUUGUCCAAAACAUAGCUUGAACACCACUCGGGGCGGAAUAAACCAUAAUCCCCAAUCACAAACGACCCCGCACUCGUCAUGGAGUGCAUGUCUCACCUAAAUAUAGCAUUACAGUGUGAUGUACCGGGGUUUCAAACCCUUAGGUCAUCAUCUACAACCAUUACUCACCUCUAGCCGGCCACAGACUAGCUCGCAAUGCCCUUUCCUCUCGAAUCGACCUCCUCGCGCGUCGAAUCUGGCCAAAACCACAAUGAAUAUGUUACAAUAGGCUAAUAGAAUACAACCCAAUCGAAAAGACUCGAAAAACACCAAAAAUCACGAAGUUUGCAAAACUCGAGGCCCGAGCCCACUUCUCAAAAUCAAGAAAACUUUACAUCAAGACGAUCCUUAUCUCGCCAUGAGUCUAUACAUAUCAAAUUCACAAGAAUCGGAGUCCAUUUGACCCCUCAAAUAAUCAAUUUAAGCUCUCUUAAGUUUCAAGCCCUAACCUCCAUUUUUAGCAUUUAAUCCCUUGAAUUUUAGUGUUUAAUCCAUGAUUUUACACUAUAUAAACAUAAUCCGAGUCCAAUAGUUCAUACCUGAUGAAACCCCUUCGAAUUCUCUUCAAAAUCGCCCAAGAAAUCGCCUAAGCCGAAGUCCAAAAUAUUUUUCCUUCUCUUUCAAAUUCGUGAAAGACUGUUCAUUAAACCAGGUCAAUUUCUACUCCUGCGGUCAAGUAACCACACCUGCGGUCCUCGCACAUUCUUCGAACUCUCUUCAAAAUCUCCCAAGAAAUCGCCUAAGCCGAAGUCUAAAAUAUUUUUCCUUCUCUUUCAAAUUCGUGAAACACUAUUCAUUAAAACCCAGGUCGAUUUCCGCUCCUGCGGUCAAAUAACUGCACCUGCUUUCCCCGCACAUGCGACCAAACAAUCGCUUAUGCGAUCUCACUUAAAAUACCCCGGACUGCUUAUGCGGUCUAGAACCGCUUCUACGGUCGCCACAUUUGCAGAUCCACGUCCGCUUUUGCGGAAAGCCCUGGUCCCUCAAGGACCGCUUUUGUGACCAAUGUGCCACAUCUGUGGAACCGCUUAUGCAGUCCCUUUUCCGCAAAUGCGGAAAUGACAGAACCAGCAAGGACUGAAACAUGCACCAACUUCGAAUCCUCCGUUUAACCACCCGAAUACACCCCGAGGCCCCCAGGACCUCAACCAUAAGCACAUACAUGAUGCGUUACCUUAUUCAAACUUGCUCAAACUAUCAAAAUACUUCGUUAACAUCAAUCCUCAAUUACCAUCAAAACAAAGCCUAAGUUUCUUAAAAACUUCUGAAUUGCACAUUCGAUAAAAAACUCAACCUAACCACCUCUGAAUGGCCUAAAACUUUGCACACAUAUCCAAAAUCACCUAACGGAGCUUUUCAACUCUCGAAAUUCCAUUCUGACCCCCGGAUCAAAAUUUCACCUAUCCACCGGAUUUCGCCAAAAUACUAACUUCGCCAAUUCAAGCCUAAUUCUAUAUCGGACCACCAAAAUCAAUUUUGAUCGCACUCCUAAGUCACAUAUUAUCCCUCGAAGCUAACCAAAUCAUCAGAAUUCACAUCCGAGCCCUCUAACUAAAUAGUCCAUUUCCAGUUGACUUUUUCAAAAUAAGUUUUCUUUUAAGAGACUAAGUGUCUCACUUCCAUCUAAAACCAAUCCAAUUCUAUUCGAUCACCUCAAAUACCAAUAAUGAAGCAUAAGGAAACAUAAUAUGAGAGAAAUGGAAUGGUAACUCACGUGACGAAGGGUCGGGUCGUCACAUGGAAGUAUUCAAGUAUUUGGCCUUGUUAUGUGUAGGCGGAUCUCGGAAGGGUCAUGAGGGUUUAGACCACUACAUGAGGAUUUGAAUGUUCUAUGGUUAUGAGAAUUCACUCUCGUGUAGCUAUGGUUCUCUUGGAAUGAGUUAAAUAAAAAGUUUCUAUGUUAUGAAGUGUUUAACCUAAUAGUGGUUCAGGAGUUAUGAUGAAAUUCUUGUACUAUCGCAUAUUGGCUUGUUAGGUGCAGUAAGUGAUAUGAAAUUUGAAAGUGAGGAUCAAGGUUGCGGUUCGGUGUUUGACGAGGAUGUCAGGAGCUCGGAUGAGCAAGAAGUGGAUUUGGAUAUUUGGAGUAAGUUGUUAUUGUCUUCAGCGUCACCUAAGAUCGGCAUUUUAUGUAGGAGGCUUUGCAUCUUGGUUACGAAUUCUUGAUAUGCUUUACAAUAUUAGUAUGAUCGGUGGUAUGGAUGUUCAGACUCAUUAUCUUGUGCGGAAGGUCGUGGGAGCAUAUCUCACUGGAUGAUUGUAUAAGUGUGACAUGUAAUCUCUUAAUUGAUCAAAGAAUUAAACCAAGUAUGAAGAUUGUGGAAAUAUCACUAAUUUGAGAAUUUAUGCUUGUAGGGCACUCCGUUUAUUGGUUUAUGGAUUGUGGAGGUUUGCUCCGGAUAUGAGGGUUAUUCUUGUAAGUUAUGGAAAAAGGGGUCAUUAUGGACCCUUAAAAGGUUAUUAGCCUAGCACGUGCGGUCAAAAUAGGCUCAAGGUCAGUGGGCGGAUUUAAAUAUUAAUAAGGACUCUACAUCAGACCGGAUGUGUUCAUUUCAGCAUGGCGAUCCUCAUAGAGGAGUAUUCAAACAUUGGAUGUUGUUUCAUCGUCGGCUAUUUCAUGUAAUAUUAUAUUGUGGCGUGUGAGUUGUGAGACGACUUGAUAAAUUUCUUAUGUGUUGAGGUUCCACGUAGAGACGAUGUUACGUGAGCAUGAUGGCUCUGGUGAUUCAGAUUAAAUAUCUCACCUUAGUUGUGUUUGAGUUUUGUAGCUUAUGGCACUAUCUGUCUCCCCAGGGAUGAUAUUAUGCACUUAGCGUGCUUGCAGCCGAUAUUCGGUAUUUAGUAGUAAUAAGCAAUUUAGCUCAGUGUGUAUCUCCUUGUGUGAGUCCAAGGUAUGGAUCGGGUGGUACGCCACCACGGAUAUGUUGUUUGGAUCAGGUUGUACGCCGAAACAGUAUGAUGUUGAGUACAGUUUGUUACACCUCCUUUUUACUACACCCGCAAGGGCAUAAAAGAGUUUUUCCACUUAAAGAAUAAUCGGAACAAGAUUUAGUUUAUUAAUUAUUCAGAGUUGCCACUUCAGAGUUUAAUGGUGUCCCAAGUCACCGAUUGAAUCCCGAACCGAGGAAAGAUAUGAAUCUGUUACAGUCUGCGAACCAGAAAUCUGAGUAAAGAAUUCUGUUAACCCGGGAAAAUGUGUUAAGCAUUCUCGGGUUCCGUGGUUCUAGCACGGUCGCUUAACUGUUGUAUUUGAUUUUAUCCGAUUUUAAUACAUGCUAGCUUAUGUGCCUUUUAUUCAUAAACUGCUUUUUAUCACUGUUUAUUUUAAUAGAAUUGUGACGUCAUGACAACGCAUUUCGAACCACGUCGCAAUCAAUGCACCCGUGGUUGUCAACAUAUUUUGACUUCGUCGAGAUUAAAGAAAGUAAUUUAAUUAAAUCACGCCUAAAGAUUCUAACGUAAUAUUAUUUGGGGAAAAUCGUGAAGUUCGCUAAACGACCCUCUCAAAUUCUAAGCAUUUUCAGAUAACAAUUACUGAGCGCCCCGUAUUUGUACAUUUUAUUUGGCGAGGCACGACUCACUCAUUACUUUCUAAAAGGGAAUGUCUAAAAAUAAACCUGAAGGUUCAUCGACUAUUUGUUAUCCAAUUAGGGCUCACCUCAAUUGUUUUAAUUCAAGGCCCACGAGUAAUUAUGAAACUAACAAAAUUUCUGCUAGUCGAAACUUAAUAGAACGAAGUGAGUCAAGUCCAGGCCCACACAAUAGGCCUGGUGUUUUUGGCUCAACACUAGAGCAACAUAAUCGAACCCCAGCAGCAACGAGAGGGCUCGAAUUAUUUUGAUUCUUUAGACCUGGCGUUAACAUGUCAAGUAAUAAGGUCUAUAUAUGUAGGUUACCAAAGAUACUGGGAAUUCAAAUUAAACUGCUCCUAUUGGAAAAUCAAUUUUAGAGAAUUUGACCAAUUGGAUAGUCAUUUUAAAACAAAUUUGUGCAAUAGUGUCAGGAAAUUAAUUAGAGUCAACAUAGGCUGCUCAUUUACUCAAAACAUGAAAUUAACUACAAUUUGUAAUCAAACUAACCUAUGAAUCAGUUAACAACCCACAGAGAUUCACAGUCCAAACUGCGUAAACACUACUUUAACUACAAAAAAAACUGCCUACAAAUACUAACAAGUAACGAUGCACUACAUUUUUCCUUUUUCAUCAACUCAAUUUUGAUCUAAUUACUACCAUUCCAAUAGAAAUCCACUUAACAUUAAGGAAUAAAAGUUUAACUACACAAAUAGAACAGAGGCUAAAUCAAAACUUCAAUUCAUCAUACAUGCUCAAUCUUCAUGUUUUCAGCUUACAAUUGCCAAAUUUUUAGCAGUAUACCUGGAAUUCGAAAUUAAAAGGAAGAAGAAUAAGUUAGCAACAGCAACCACGAUCAGAAUUCAAUCAGCCAUGAAUCACUUCAGCAAACCAGGAGAGCGUGAAACCAAGCAACCCAUCAAUUAACCAUAACUACUCGAGUGAAGUUGAAAUUUGAUCCAGGAUACACAGAACACGUUCAGCAAUCGAACCAACAAAGGACAAACCUCCAAAUGAACCUAUAUGCUGUAAAUCUCGCACACAGAACUGAAGACGGAGAUGUUUGAGCUAUUUUUAAUCCUAACUAAGCUAGGAAAACUGAAUCACUGAUUAAAAAUUGAAAGUGAUCUAAUGGGAGGCAAUGAAGUAAUUUUUUUGAUUUUUCUGUUUAAUAUUUGCUUUUGUGUUUGGUUUUUGGAAGAUUUGAAGUUUGGAUUGCAAAUUUUAGAUCUGGAAUUAGUGAACAAUGGGAGGGAUUUUUGGGAGGCUCCAAACUUAUGAAUGAAGUAAAUGACAUGCCCUUUUAUAGGCACAAAUGAGGGCAGCCCUCAGAUUUUCAGUUUUCCUUUUAGUCCCCCCUAAUUUUCAGUUUUCUCCAUUUACUUUUGACUUGCUAAUCAAGUAAACGCCCUCAUUUUGCUGAAAUCUACACUAAAGUAUCAUUCUAGAAGGCCCUAGGAUGCUCUUCUACCCACAAAAUACCUAUACUGCCCUUACCCCU